This 336-nucleotide long non-coding RNA is filed under the name Physcomitrium patens. Its description in RNAcentral is "long non-coding RNA (PPAT_LNC008829)". The record is from RNAcentral. Lineage: Eukaryota; Viridiplantae; Streptophyta; Bryopsida; Funariales; Funariaceae.
CCCCACUGCUCGCAGCUUCCUUGCAAAGCCACAUCAGUAAAGCUCACAAGCUUCUCCCGUCCGUGUACUCCACCAGCUCCAGAUUCUCGCCAUUCAUCUACCUUUCCACGCUAUCACCAACAAUCGUCACCCUUGCCGCUUCCGAAGGGUCCAAUGACAGCGUCUCGGAUGUGGUGACGCAAUUUUCCUGCUUACAAUCGAAGCGUGAUGGUUUCAUUUCGUGCUGGGAAUCACACCUGGAGUUUUCUGAGAGAACGGUAUUGUGAGGGUUGAAUGAGUUGAAUGGAAACGAAGAAUAUCAAAGAAGGUUUGUCUAAGAAUGAGUCAGUGUUGUUG